This 785-nucleotide long non-coding RNA is filed under the name Gallus gallus (chicken). RNAcentral's name for it is "long non-coding RNA NONGGAT007961". The record is from RNAcentral. Lineage: Eukaryota; Metazoa; Chordata; Aves; Galliformes; Phasianidae.
GUGAAGAGACAUGAUCAGACUUUUGAGUUGAGUAUCUGAUUGCAACUCUAUACGUUCCAUUUGCAAGCUUGCAGGCAAUGUAUUUCUAUCAAAUGAAAGCGGUCUUGCAAACAUACAUUGGUGAUCUUUCUGGCAGUCUUGAAACCUGUUCUCAAACUCCUUUAUCAAACCGGCUGCGUGCCCUUAGCCGUUCAGAGCACCGCACUGAAAUGCGAACAGUCGCUGGUCAGCACCACACGGCCCUGCCCUCCCGCUGCCAGCGGGCACGGCGUUAACCGGGCGCUGGCGGUUGGUUGUUGCCGAGCGACGGGCGCGUACCCGGGGCUGCUCAGGUGAGGAGGCGCCGCCAUGAUGGCGCGGGGCGGCUGCCUUGUGAGCUGUGGCGGGCUGCACGUGGCUGUGCUGGGGGAGCUCGGAGCUCUUUCCUGCUAACCUCAGAGGUUCUCGUAGCUGUGAAAACGGCCUUCGUGUACAUAUGGCGUUCAGAUUGCUUUAAGUCGCGGUCUGAACGCGCACCAACGAUGAGGCGCUGUGAUUCCUUUUGUUGGGAAACAAAGGACUGGGAUUACGUAGCGGGUCAGCGUUGCACGGCCGCCAGAAGGAGCGGAGGUGACUGCGGAGUGAGCUGCAAAUGGCGAGCAUACAUACUUAGACAGCUCUGGGGACCUUGGACCUGGACACUGGAUGAAGACUCUGCCAUAUUGGAUAUGCCUCUAACCAUGAGAUUGCUGGUGGCAAAGAGAAAAGGGAUGCAGUGUGGAGGCAGCAGAUAACGUAUGUGUAAA